Molecule: transfer RNA, 65 nt
Filed under: Dreissena polymorpha
Lineage: Eukaryota; Metazoa; Mollusca; Bivalvia; Myida; Dreissenidae
Description: tRNA-Gly
Source: RNAcentral
GGAUGUUCAGUGGUAGAACGUCGCCGGCCACGCGGGCGGCCCGGGUUCGAUUCCCGUCCAAUUCA